Molecule: long non-coding RNA, 838 nt
Organism: Apodemus sylvaticus (European woodmouse)
Lineage: Eukaryota; Metazoa; Chordata; Mammalia; Rodentia; Muridae
Exons: 2
Source: RefSeq, a predicted model, not a curated record
UGUUCGUUUAAUUUGCUUGUUCUUUUGGUGUUAUGUAAGAAAUUAUUCUGGAUGCAAACUGAGAGUGAAGCUGCACAAGUGCGCCGAGGAAGCAGUUUAUGUGCUGGUGCUCUCCUGCUCUCCUGCUGCACUGGCCGCAUUCGCUUUUCAGCUAAGCCUCUUCUUCAUCUCAUGGCGCUACCUUUUGGAAGAUGAAGAACUUGAUCCAUGGAGACACCUUAAAAUGACAAAGAAGAGAAGGAUACUUUGUUUCUAGAUACAGAGCUGCCAUCCCAAUGUUAGAGCAGUGACCUGAAGACUGGUAUGUAAAAGAGAAGCGUCGUCUUGGACUUUGGUGACAUAGUGCUGGACCAGUCAGUCACUGAACUAUUCUGACUCUUGUGGACACCUCAUAUCGCAGUGGCUUUCUAGCUGCUUGUACCUGUUCCUGUUCAGAAGGCUAGUGAUUAGCUGUAUUUUACAUUCCAGUUUGAGAACACAGUAACCUAAAAUAUAAGCAAUAUUUAAAUUUAUGACUUGUGGAAAUGUUAUACAUACAUUUGUGAAAUAUGUAUCCCACAUUUUCCUUUCUCCAUCCCACCAUCCAACAAGCCUCGCUCCCAGCUGGAUGUCGCCCAGUCCCUCCUUGCUUUUGACAGCCCACUAAAUUCAGUUAGUGAGACAGAUACAUGCACAGGGAGCCAAAAUUUUAUUUGAUUGAUUGACUGAUUGAUUUUAUUUAUUUAUUUAUUUUUAAGGCCAUUGUUUUCAAACUAAGACCAGAAUUUUGCAUUGAUGUUUUGAUGGUCAUAGCAGGCUCUGCAACUAGUACUGAAAUAAAAUAAUGUAAUGGUCGAUU